CCUACGGGAGGCAGCAGUGGGGAAUAUUGGACAAUGGGCGAAAGCCUGAUCCAGCAAUGCCGCGUGAGUGAUGAAGGCCUUAGGGUUGUAAAGCUCUUUUACCCGGGAAGAUAAUGACUGUACCGGGAGAAUAAGCCCCGGCUAACUCCGUGCCAGCAGCCGCGGUAAUACGGAGGGGGCUAGCGUUAUUCGGAAUUACUGGGCGUAAAGCGCACGUAGGCGGCUAUUCAAGUCAGAGGUGAAAGCCCGGAGCUCAACUCCGGAACUGCCUUUGAAACUAGGUAGCUUGAAUCACGGAGAGGUAAGUGGAAUUCCGAGUGUAGAGGUGAAAUUCGUAGAUAUUCGGAAGAACACCGAGUGGCGAAGGCGGCUUACUGGACGUGUAUUGACGCUGAGGUGCGAAAGCGUGGGGAGCGAAACAGGAUUAGAUACCCUGGUAGUCCACGCCGUAAACGAUGAUAACUAGUUGUCGGGUCUCUUAGAGCUUCGGUGACGCAGCUAACGCAUUAAGUUACUCCGCCGUGGGGUAGGUACGGUCGCGAGAGUUAAACGUACGAAAGAAGUUAGACGGCGUGAGUAACGUGCCGAGGACGACGACGAGGGAGGUUAGG
RNAcentral lists this ribosomal RNA (611 nucleotides) under uncultured bacterium. Its description in RNAcentral is "bacterial SSU rRNA". The stretch from base 1 to 521 matches the Rfam family "Bacterial small subunit ribosomal RNA", at positions 338 to 873 of the family's 1533-position model. The record is from RNAcentral.